Molecule: ribosomal RNA, 476 nt
Filed under: uncultured bacterium
Lineage: Bacteria
Description: bacterial SSU rRNA
Rfam family: Bacterial small subunit ribosomal RNA
Source: RNAcentral
ACUCCUACGGGAGGCAGCAGUAGGGAAUUUUCCGCAAUGGACGAAAGUCUGACGGAGCAAUGCCGCGUGAGUGAUGAAGGUUUUCGAAUCGUAAAGCUCUGUUGUAAGGGAAGAAUAGCAAGGAUAGGAAAUGCUCCUUGUCUGACGGUACCUUACCAGAAAGCCACGGCUAACUCCGUGCCAGCAGCCGCGGUAAUACGGAGGGUGCGAGCGUUAAUCGGAAUUACUGGGCGUAAAGCGCAUGCAGGUGGUUUGUUAAGUCAGAUGUGAAAGCCCGGGGCUCAACCUCGGAAUUGCAUUUGAAACUGGCAGACUAGAGUACUGUAGAGGGGGUGAGAAUUGAUCAGGUGUAGCGGUGAAAUGCGUAGAGAUCUGAAGGAAUACCGGUGGCGAAGGCGGCCCCCUGGCACAGAUACUGACACUCAGAUGCGAAAGCGUGGGAGCAAACAGGAUUAGAUACCCUGGUAGACUGUCAU